Molecule: ribosomal RNA, 34 nt
Filed under: Lactarius vividus
Lineage: Eukaryota; Fungi; Basidiomycota; Agaricomycetes; Russulales; Russulaceae
Description: partial 28S ribosomal RNA
Source: RNAcentral
UGACCUCAAAUCGGGUGAGACUACCCGCUGAACU